This is a non-coding RNA of Podarcis lilfordi (Lilford's wall lizard), 81 nucleotides long. The record is from the annotation of a GenBank genome assembly. NCBI's taxonomy places the organism in Eukaryota, Metazoa, Chordata, Lepidosauria, Squamata, Lacertidae.
UAGGCCUUCUUAGCCAGUCCAAGCAGAACGCUUUUUUAGUAUUUUGAAAAGCGUUCUGCUUGGACUGACUAAGGAGGCCUA